GCAAGCUGGCCAAGUACCUUGCCCUCAGACUUAGACCAGAUAAUCUAGAUGAUGAGGAUGAGGAUGAUGAAAUGACCCUGGAUUCCAGUAGCAGCACUUUAUGUGCAGAGGAAGAAAAUGAACUUCGGCCAGAUUCACUAGAUGAAAACUAUUU
Molecule: long non-coding RNA, 154 nt
Organism: Octodon degus (degu)
Lineage: Eukaryota; Metazoa; Chordata; Mammalia; Rodentia; Octodontidae
Exons: 3
Source: RefSeq, a predicted model, not a curated record